Molecule: small nucleolar RNA, 86 nt
Organism: Cephalotus follicularis
Lineage: Eukaryota; Viridiplantae; Streptophyta; Magnoliopsida; Oxalidales; Cephalotaceae
Rfam family: Plant small nucleolar RNA SNOR75
About the family: U15 is a member of the C/D class of snoRNA which contain the C (UGAUGA) and D (CUGA) box motifs.
Source: Rfam
UAUCAAUUAUGAACAAAACGAUGACGAUUCUGAUCAAUUUCCAUUCUUUAAAUUUUGAUGACAAUCGAGGCAUUUGUCUGAGAGAU